RNAcentral lists this unclassified non-coding RNA (223 nucleotides) under Hevea brasiliensis (rubber tree). The record is from RNAcentral. Lineage: Eukaryota; Viridiplantae; Streptophyta; Magnoliopsida; Malpighiales; Euphorbiaceae.
UGGUGUAUUCGAGACCCCAAGGGUCCUUCUCGGUCGCGCUUUUCUUCACCAGUUCCGAAUUCACGAUACAGGGAACGAUCACGGCGAGAUCGGGAAUCGUGAGACGAUCCUUCUUGGUCUUGGCGAAAUCCACGCGUACGGUGUUGUCGUCAACGAUGACGAAUUGCUCCGGCUUGGUGAGCGAACCCGCGCUCAUCUGGAAAGUCGGGAAGCCACCGACGCU